RNAcentral lists this ribosomal RNA (253 nucleotides) under uncultured bacterium. Its description in RNAcentral is "partial 16S ribosomal RNA". It matches the Rfam family "Bacterial small subunit ribosomal RNA", at positions 524 to 776 of the family's 1533-position model. The record is from RNAcentral.
UACGGAGGGUGCAAGCGUUAUCCGGAUUCACUGGGUUUAAAGGGUGCGUGGGCGGUCAGGUAAGUCAGAGGUGAAAUCUCCGGGCUUAACCCGGAAACUGCCUUUGAUACUAUCUGUCUUGAAUAUGGUGGAGGUAAGCGGAAUAUGUCAUGUAGCGGUGAAAUGCUUAGAGAUGACAUAGAACACCUAUUGCGAAGGCAGCUUACUACGCCUAUAUUGACGCUGAGGCACGAAAGCGUGGGGAUCAAACAGG